AACCUUAGAAACAUAUCUAAACAGAGUGUUCUUCAAAAUCACAAGAGAAACUUGGCCCUUUUUGGCUGGAAUUCAAGAACACACACUUCUUUUUGGGGAAUGAUCGAGUGGAUGCAGGAAGCGGGCCAUUGGAGAUGGAAUUUUUGAGAGCCUUAAGGAAGAUCACAUUUGCAUUUAGGCAUCUAUAUUUUGUAUAAACCUUGGGACUUGUACAUGAUCUUUUUGUUGUAUAUUUACAUGAAAUUUCGAUGACUAAUGUGAUCAUGUCACCAUGGGUUGUAAAUUAAGUAUGGCUAUAUGUUUUGUUCUUUUGGGGUGUGUAAGCCCAAGUAUUGCAAUAUACUAAAUUUACUAUUUGUUUUGAA
Molecule: long non-coding RNA, 365 nt
Organism: Solanum stenotomum
Lineage: Eukaryota; Viridiplantae; Streptophyta; Magnoliopsida; Solanales; Solanaceae
Exons: 2
Source: RefSeq, a predicted model, not a curated record